This 521-nucleotide ribosomal RNA is filed under the name Boophis sandrae. RNAcentral describes it as "partial 12S ribosomal RNA". The stretch from base 1 to 450 matches the Rfam family "Bacterial small subunit ribosomal RNA", at positions 892 to 1533 of the family's 1533-position model. The record is from RNAcentral. Lineage: Eukaryota; Metazoa; Chordata; Amphibia; Anura; Mantellidae.
GCUUAAAAUCCAAAGGACUUGACGGUGUCCCAUCCUACUAGAGGAGCCUGUUUUAUAAUCGAUAAUCCCCGCUCUACCUUACCACCUCUCGCUUACACGCAGCCUGUAUACCUCCGUCGCAAGCUCGCCAUAUGAAUGUUUCAUAGCGAGCUUAAUGACUCUUACGCCAACACGUCAGGUCAAGGUGCAGCCCAUGAAGUGGAAAAUAAUGGGCUACAAUUUCUAACUUAGAACAAACGAACAAUCAUCUGAAACGACGAUCAUGAAGGAGGAUUUAGUAGUAAAGAGGGAAAAUUAUGCCCCCUUUAACAAUGGCCCUGGGACGUGUACAAACCGCCCGUCACCCUCUUCAACAACUCCCCCCUGUCCCUAACCCUUUACAUGUUUCCCAGAAGAGGCAAGUCGUAACAAGGUAAGUGUACUGGAAAGUGCACUUGGAUAACAAAAUGUAGCUUAGAAAAGCCCUCCGCUUACGCCGGAAAGACAUCCGUUAAAACCAGAUCAUUUUGAGCCGUAACUCU